This 71-nucleotide transfer RNA is filed under the name Riemerella sp. Its description in RNAcentral is "tRNA-OTHER". Lineage: Bacteria; Pseudomonadati; Bacteroidota; Flavobacteriia; Flavobacteriales; Weeksellaceae. The record is from RNAcentral.
GCGAAAGAAGUGUAAUGGUUGCACAGUGUUUAUUCCAAAACACAGGAGGGGUUCGAUUCCACCCUUUCGCU